UUGUAAGUCCUAUUUCCCCCGUUCGGGAAUCUCUCCCCGGAGGGCAGCCACAGGUGCCUUUUCUGGGCCGAGCUCAGGUGGGGCUCACCACUGAAGCGAUUAAAUUGAACAGGUGCCUCUACUCAGCCUUUUACCGCUUGCACCACGCCCCAUUCCAUGGAAUCCCCAGCCCCAGCUUUCUUUGGAAAAUCAAACAAGGCCAAAAGGGACAGAGAAGCGCACGGGUGUGACCAACACUGGUCCUCCCCCAGGUCAGUAAUUAGUGAGGUCGGGGGAGGGGCUGCCCGCGCACAGUGGGUCCUUAAUGGCUCCUGCCCCGGAGACUGCCUUCAGAUCGACAGCGGAGUGAAUCGCCAUGAAAAAUUCAUCAGCCUUUGCAGGUCCGCGGCCCAGAUCCGGGCGGAGCACACGAUCCCGGCUGGAGCAAGGGCCAUUAAAACAGUCGCCGCCGCAGAGGGGAGGCCGAGCACUGCCCUCGCAGAACUAUAAGGUUUGAAACUGACGGGGACAUGGAGAUUAAAAUCCAACUUCCAGGAUUCACAGCCAUGAAGCGGGGUGCUCGUGACCUCUCCCAUGUCCAGCCAAGCCAAGAUAUGAAGCCAUGCCUCCUGAUUCCAUACUGGGGAAAUGUUUCACUUUCCUAUGCUCUUGACCACAACCAGCUCAUCAUCCCUCGGGCUUGAAGAACAGAUCCCUCACUCCCUGAAAAAACUGGGGUACACGAUUCCAUCUAGGGUCUCCCACAGUGCCUCAUCCUCCUCGGCUCCCUUUCUGUCUCACACUCUGACCCCUCCCCCGUUCCUCCCCUCUUUACCCCUCACCCUAAUCUUGGCUGACAUCCCAAGCUGCGUGUUCUUUUCCAGCACCUCAUCGAGCCAAGACUAACGGGAGGUCACCACGCUGGGGACCGGGCCAGCAGCAAAUUGCGCCUAUUGGACUUUAGAGGAGCCCUCACUACCACUCAGUGCUUUCAACGUUUGUUGACUCCUGCAUUGCAGAUAUUCCAAAUGUUUCCUUCCUGUCUUCAGCUCUUGCCCUUACAAUACCUCACAGUUUGCAAGACAAAUUCUUCUUUCCGGAGAUGAAGUUUGCCUCACGUGAGUGUCCCCAAUGUUGCCUCUUUCUCACUUAAAAUGUUUGCAUCAUCUCCUACCUUGUCAUUCUCACUUACCUCAGGGGAUAAAAGUCCUUAGUCUUUUCCAAACCAAAUGCAUCUACUUUUACUGCUACUAUAAAAUAUUGAGCCCAAACAAAACAGAAAGAAGGAGGAGCUUAGAGAAAAUAUAAUAAACAAAAGGAAACUUCAAGAAAAUACCA
RNAcentral lists this long non-coding RNA (1317 nucleotides) under Felis catus (domestic cat). RNAcentral's name for it is "lncRNA (ENSFCAG00000053504.1)". The record is from RNAcentral. Lineage: Eukaryota; Metazoa; Chordata; Mammalia; Carnivora; Felidae.